UCUUUGGUUAUCUAGCUGUAUGAGUUUUAAUUUCAUAAAGCUAGAGAACCGAAAGUA
MicroRNA precursor from Amphiprion ocellaris (clown anemonefish), 57 nucleotides. Lineage: Eukaryota; Metazoa; Chordata; Actinopteri; Pomacentridae. The record is from Ensembl.